GACGAACGCUGGCGGCGUGCUUAACACAUGCAAGUCGAGCGGAAAACUUCGGUUUUCAGCGGCGGACGGGUGAGUAACACGUGGGCAACCUGCCUCACAAUGAGGGAUAGCCUUCCGAAAGGAAGAUUAAUACCUCAUAACACAAGAGAAACGCAUGUUUCACUUGCCAAAGAAUUUCGUUGUGAGAUGGGCCCGCGGCGCAUUAGCCUGUUGGUGAGGUGACGGCUCACCAAGGCUUCGAUGCGUAGCCGACCUGAGAGGGUGAUCGGCCACAUUGGAACUGAGACACGGUCCAGACUCCUACGGGAGGCAGCAGUGGGGAAUAUUGCACAAUGGAGGAAACUCUGAUGCAGCAACGCCGCGUGAGUGAUGAAGGUCUUCGGAUUGUAAAACUCUGUCUUCUGGGACGAUAAUGACGGUACCAGAGGAGGAAGCCACGGCUAACUACGUGCCAGCCGCCGCCGUAA
This 467-nucleotide ribosomal RNA is filed under the name uncultured bacterium. RNAcentral's name for it is "partial 16S ribosomal RNA". It matches the Rfam family "Bacterial small subunit ribosomal RNA", at positions 28 to 523 of the family's 1533-position model. The record is from RNAcentral.